RNAcentral lists this ribosomal RNA (253 nucleotides) under uncultured bacterium. RNAcentral describes it as "partial 16S ribosomal RNA". It matches the Rfam family "Bacterial small subunit ribosomal RNA", at positions 524 to 776 of the family's 1533-position model. The record is from RNAcentral.
GACGAGGGAUCCUAGCGUUGUUCGGAAUCAUUGGGCGUAAAGCGGGUGUAGGUGGCUUUGUAAGUCGAGUGUGAAAGCCUGGGGCUCAACCCCAGAAGUGCAUUCGAUACUGCGAAGCUUGAGUGGUAGAGAGGUUAGUAGAAUUGUUGGUGUAGUGGUGAAAUACGUAGAUAUCAACAGGAAUACCGGAGGCGAAGGCGGGUCUCUGGACAGUUCCUGACGCUGAGGCACGAAGGCCAGGGGAGCAAACGGG